RNAcentral lists this ribosomal RNA (464 nucleotides) under uncultured bacterium. Its description in RNAcentral is "bacterial SSU rRNA". It matches the Rfam family "Bacterial small subunit ribosomal RNA", at positions 338 to 795 of the family's 1533-position model. The record is from RNAcentral.
CCUACNGGACGCACCAGUGGGGAAUAUUGCACAAUGGGCGCAAGCCUGAUGCAGCCAUGCCGCGUGUGUGAAGAAGGCCUUCGGGUUGUAAAGCACUUUCAGCGGGGANGAAGGCGUUAANNUUANUAACCUUGGCGAUUGACGUUACCCGCAGAAGAAGCACCGGCUAACUCCGUGCCAGCAGCCGCGGUAAUACGGAGGGUGCAAGCGUUAAUCGGAAUUACUGGGCGUAAAGCGCACGCAGGCGGUCUGUCAAGUCGGAUGUGAAAUCCCCGGGCUCAACCUGGGAACUGCAUUCGAAACUGGCAGGCUAGAGUCUUGUAGAGGGGGUAGAAUUCCAGGUGUAGCGGUGAGAUGCGUAGAGAUCUGGAGGAAUACCGGUGGCGAAGGCGGCCCCCUGGACAAAGACUGACGCUCAGGUGCGAAAGCGGGGGAAGCAAACAGGAUUAGAUACCCGCGUAGUC